Long non-coding RNA from Lagopus muta (rock ptarmigan), 11345 nucleotides. RefSeq lists it as uncharacterized. The transcript has 3 exons. NCBI's taxonomy places the organism in Eukaryota, Metazoa, Chordata, Aves, Galliformes, Phasianidae. The record is from RefSeq and is a predicted model, not a curated record.
UAGAGUCAUAAAAUCAUUAAGGUUGGAAAAGAUCUCUAAGAUCAUCUAGUCCAACUCUCAAACCAUCACACCAUGCCCACUCAUACAAUCAUUAAGGUUCGAGGAGAUCUUCAAGAUUCCCAAGUCCAACCCCAACCCAUUCCCACCAUGCCCUCUAACCAUGUCCCCAAAGCCACAACCCCACAAUUCUGGAACAUCUCCAGGGAUGGAAACACCACCACUUCCCUGGGCAGCUUGUUCUAAUGUCAACAGCCUUCUCUGCCAAUCUAUCUAUCAACCUAUCUCUCCAUCUAUCUAUUUAUUUUGGAGAUAUGACCAGUGAAAAUUAGACAUGCCAAACCAAGGGAGGAUUUAAAAUAUUAAGUGUUUAGGCAUGCUUGCCUGUAGUAGAUAACUUCUACCCAAACCAGCCGAGACUCAGUGCUGUACAGGGCAGGGAGGCACUGUACAGGGCACUGACAGCAGGCUCUUAGCUUGUAGCUGCAGCCCUACCUGAGCUCUGGGACCACUGAGCCUUCAGCCCACAUUAACACUGAUUAAAUCACCAGGGUAUGAAAAUAAAUAACACAGAUGAGAUGGCAAAGGAAAACUGGCUGAGGCAUUAGCGCUGCUUGACAGUACUUCUGUACACCAGAAACUGCUGUAAACUUCUGAUCACCACUUUCUGAUCACCUCUCAUCUUCAAUAAAGCCAUGCUGUGAGUAAUAAUGAUAAUAACAAUAAUAAUAAUAAUAAUAAUAAUAAUAAUUGUUUGGAGAAGAGAAGGCUCAGGGGAGACCUUAUUGCUCUCUACAACUACCUGAAGAGAGGUUGCAGUGAGCUGGGGGUCGGCAUCUUCUCUCAUGUAACUAGUGAUAGAACUAGAGGGAAUGGCUUCAAGCUGAACCAGGGGAGAUUCAGGCUGGACACUAGGAAGUACUGUUUUUCUGAAAGAGCGGUCAAGCACUGGAAUGGGCUGCCCAGGACAAUGGUGGAGUCACUGACCCUGGGGGUGUUCAAGGAACGUUUGGAUUUCAUGUUGAGGGAUAUGAUUUAGUGAGAACUAUUGGUGAUAGGUGGGUGGUUGGACUGGAUGAUCUUGAACAUCUUUUCCAACCUUGGUGUUUCUGUGAUUCUGAUUCUAUUACACAGUCCCUUGCAGAGCAGGAUCCAGGGCAUCAGGGAUCUGCAGGGCUUCUGUUUCCUCCUACAGAUAGCAUGCAAUCAUGAGACUUCUCAUCCACCUUCCAAUGGGAUGAACAAAAGCUUUAAAUCAGUCAAUGUGAGCCAUGAAUAACUUGAUUAGAAUUAAUGUCUUCAGCCCGUGCAGGUUAGAUAAGGCUGAGCCCAAACAACUCAGUAAUCAGGUCUCAGGAUGGUGUUGCAUGAUGAAUCAUAGCCUUACUGAUUUUAGAUGGGACACUGACUUUACAAUGACAUGUUGUUGAUACAUUAAUAGAUAUCUUAUUUUACUGAUACUUUUCUUCAUGUUAAGAGUUGAAGAAAAUGCUCAGGAGGAAUGACCAACCAUGUUGUUAUUUCAUAAAGGUGAUGAGGGCCAUAGGGUAUGCUAUGUGAGGAAGUGCACCGGGACCUCAGUAUGGAUCCACAGCUCCACACAGCUGUGAAGUGUUGUGAAGGCACAGAAAUACACACAUAGAAAGCAAUAUUAAAAGGUAUCUAGUCAGUUAGAUUGAACAGAACAAACUCAAUUUCUAUGGAUUGCCAAGUAGAGAGCUCAUGGGAGAAAAGACACAAAAUACAAAUACCUUCAAAGGAUAAUUCACACAACCAGAAAAUGACAAAACAAAAAGUAGUGCUUUCAAACUAGGAACACAAAGUGCAGUGGAGUAAUUGUUCCAUAAACACAGUAUGGUGGCAGUGAGGAAAGAGCCAGGAAGGAAAAAAAGAGGUGAGAAGGGACCACAGGCAUAAUUAAUGUAGGUUUUGGAAUAUUAAGGGAUUAGCAAUAGGCACAGCAAUAUUCUUCCUCUCUGCACAAAAGAGGUCUGGGGUCGGCUGCACCUGCCCACCACGGCCCUCAUCUCCUCAUCUCCAGCAGUCCUCUCUGUGCAUGAGUUGCUGUUUGGGAGGAACAAAGAGGUAAGAUGAGGGCUGGCAGGAACUGUACAGACCCUGUGCACAGCUCCCACGCAAGCCUACAUCCAUUGAGCUGCUGGAGGGAAAGGCAGAGUCCGCAGUCUGACCAGGCAUUUGAUUUGCCCCAGGAAGACAUCAGUCUAAGUCUUCUCAAAGUUGCCACCAUGGCUGGAGGACCUCCAGAGCAAUAAAGCAGCAGGAGCUGGGAGGAAGGCCUAGGCUGUGGAUGCAUGGCAUGCCAUAUGUCUCAUGGACAGCUUGCUGUCUCUCUCCUAACACCACAGAUGUAUCUCAUGGCCCCAGGCAGCAAAGGCCUCCUACCGCUCUCAGAGCCCUGAGGCUGGGCAGGCACCCGGGGUGCUUCACAUACUGAGGUUUUGCUACAGGUUUCUCUUCCAUCUGUUCACAGCAUCGGUUGCCCUUCCAGGAGGCUGCGAUUGAGAUUUUCCCUUUAACUUUGGUGCUCAUCCUUUGUGAGCGCUAAAGGCUUUAAAAUGUGCUACAUAAUAGUAGUUAGUUAACUGCAUUAAAACGAGUUGCCCGCUGUUAUUAACAUCUCAUUACACUUUUAGACUCAUUCUAGCUCCUUUCCCUGCAUAGGGAAUUCCAGAUAGGUAAAAAUUAAUCUGAUUUGUAAAGAAAGAAGGAAGCACUGGGAAGAAAUAAAGACAGAGAACUCAGUGCCUUCUGAGACAAAGUGUCCAAGUUCGUGGACAACAGUUAGAAACAGCCACAUGCCCACAAGUGCAGAGAUACCCUUUCUUCCACUGAAGUAAUGUCUUAACUAAAGAUAAUUCAUCUCAAAAAUGCUUCUCAACUUAAAAUAUUUGCUUAUGCUUAUUGGAAAAGGGCCCUGGUCAAACAGUGACACAGCUGAAGCCUAUCAGAAGUGGAACCCAGAUUUGAGACUGCGCCUCUGAAACAGACAUUAAAAUUGGUCUUCUAGUUCAGGAUUUUUUUAAAGUCAUUCAUUCCAAAACAUACACGAGUUUAAAAUAUUGCCAUGAUUUAAAAUAUACACUUGUGUUUUGACUGAGUAAAGAAAAUUAUAGAAGAUGGCAAAUUACCAUGCUCCAGCUCUUUUUCCAGAAAAGCUGUGCCUGAUUAGUGCAUAGUCUAAUCAGGUAAACAGAGGGCACCAACUCUAUAAAUAAUAUUGGGUUUUAUGUCCAUAAAAAUUAGCAGGAUGAGAUCUUUACUAUCUCAGUUGUUUCCAGAUUAAUUGGAAUACAUAAUGAAAGUAAUUACACUCUGGUAUUUUGUUGCAUGUCUCAGUGUAUCUUGGAAGGAGUCCAGUAAGCUGUCUGUCUAUAACCGAGUUAUGCAAUGGUGAUUUGUCAUUGAAAUUGCUCCUUAUGAGCAAUAAACAGGGAGCAUUUGUACAAAUAGUAAACGUCUCUUGAUUUUUACAAAACUGAUUUGCAUUUCUGUGCCACCCAUAGAUAUAUCUAGGAAUAAAUUACUGACAUUAUUUGUGAUUUAACCCUCCCAGAAAGCCCCUUUUGAAGAUAGAAAGUGAACAUUGCCCAGAAAUUCAAUAUGUCUAUAUAUACUACAGACGUGCAUGUACAAACCAUGCUGUAUUCAUGGAAAUAUAUUUGUCUUGUAGGAAAAUUCUCUUCUCUGCUAGGGAAACUAGUCAUCCAGUCAUCUAUUUUUUUUUUUUUUCUUUUUUUUUCUUUUUCCCCAAGAUAUAGUGGCGUUGAUAAAGGAGAAUUGUGAGAAAGGCUGGUUUAAAAUUACUGAGUGAAAGCAGGGCAUGACCUGGUGCACAGAACAAUGCUUCACAGCAUUUUGGGUUUUUACACACUCCCUUUCACUCUGUUCAUUUAAAAAAAUGGUGCUGGAUAACAGAUGAAAUUGGAGAUAACAUUUGGGGAAUAAGAAGGCUCUUCAAAUUUGAAGUCAUUAUGUCCAGUGGCUGUGAGUCUUGCAGCGGUGUCAUGGAAUUAGCUUCUUCUCAUUGGGGCCCACCUUGGGUCCCACUACGAUUCUCCCCACCUCACAAUUGUUUUCACUCUGUUUGCUCAGCAGAGUUUUGGUCUGCUCCACCAGUGUGUUCCAGUGCUCCUGGACCUAUAUCAGCAGGGUCCCCAAGUGUGAGAGUGAUAAAAUAGCAGACUCAGCUAUGGCAGGUAAAAGAAUCACAGAAUGAUAGAGGUUGGAAAAGACCUCCAAGAUUACCUGGUCCAACCAUCUACCCACCACCAAUAUUUUCCCACUAAACCAUGACCCUUAGUGCAUCAUCUAAAUGUUUCUUGAACACUUCCAGGAACAGUGACUCCCUGGGCAGGUUCCCAUUCCAGCAUCUGACCACCCUUUCAGAGAAGAAAUUUUUCCUAAUAUCCAGUGUGAAUCUUCCCUGGUGCAACUUGAGGCCAUUUCCUCUCUUUCUAUCGCUACUCAUGUGGGAGAAGAUGCCAAUCCCUACCUCACCACAGUCUCUUUUCAGACAGUUGUAGAGAGCAAUAAGGUCUCCCUUGAGCCUCCUAUUCUCCAGACUAAACAAUUCCAGAUCCCUCACCCAGACCUUUUAGCAGCUUCAUUGCUCUUCUCUGAAUGUGUUUCAGAGCUACAAGUGAAGAGGCUCAAAACUGAGCACAGUACUCAAGGUUCAGCCUUAACAGAGCUGAAUACACAGAGAUGACUGCUUCGCUGCUCCUAAAGGCAGCACUAUUUCUGAUACAAGCCAGGAUGCCAUUGGCGUUCUUGGCUACCUGGACAUACUGCUGGCUCAUGUUUAGCUGAGCAUUGACCAAUGCCUCCAGGUCCAUUUCUUCCACACAGUCUUCCAGCCGCUCUGCCCCAAGCCUGUUACAUUGCCUGGGGAUGUUGUGACCGAAGUGGAAGACUCAGCACUUGAUCUUGUUGAACUUCAUCCCACUGGCCUUACCCCAGCAAUCUAGCCUGUCCAGAUCCCUCUGUUGUAGGGCCUUCCUACCCCCUGGCAGACUGACACUUCCUGCCAACUAUAAUUUUUAUCUUGAAUUUUUCUAUGAGCAGUGCUCAGGUGACAGGACUAAAAGUCAAGAAUGCACAAGAAGAGCUUGUUAAAAUAGUUUCUGCAGGUAACAUCAAUGACCCUUUAUCUGUUGCUUACAGAUGAAAGAAAAAACAACACAAGUUUUUAAACUAUGCUUUGUAUUUAAAGCUAAUAUAUUACACAAAAGAAAUACUAACUCUUGUCAGUGAGCUGACAGAUUGCUUCUGGUCAUCAUGGGCCUGAUUUCCAAAAGUAUUUAGUGCCUAAUAAAACAGUUCAUUCGCAUGGAAUUUUAGAGAUGUUGCAGUAGGCCAGCUGCCAUGUCUCCACUAAAAUUGGUAGGAGUAGGAUGCGAGGCACAUCUGAAAAGCACUUGUCUGCAGCACUAUGUUCAAAACUAUCUCUACAAAGACAUUCAGGUAUUCAUUAACUUUCAUAUUCAGCUGAUGCUUUUUCUUGUCUAUUUGGGAUUCUACUUGUAAACAAGAAGAGAGAAAUAAGAACCUUACUAUGAUCAAAUUUUUGAGUUCCAACUUGAUGAAACGUGCCUCAGGGUGUUGGCCCUUCUAGUUAUGUCUUGCCCUGUCAAUUUGGUAUUAUCACAACAAUCUGGCUUCUUUUUUUAUUUCACCACGACACCCACAGUCAAGGCAUGAAUGUGCUCAGAGUGCAAAUCUGCUUUCUGCAAUUCACUGGUGUAAUCUUACCAGUUGUGAGAAAGUUCAUUGGGUCAUGCCUAGAAAGUGAAAUGAAAAACAACCUACUUGUGUUGCUCUCCCCUGUCCGCUCCCAAAGACACACCAACUAUUCUGAUGAUACCUCAGAACACAAUAACCUCUUUCAAGCUGUAUUUUCCAAAUUUUAUUGCCAGGUUUCCUAGCAGUAGGCUGUAAUUGGAAUCUGACUGUGAAAUAAACAGGUACAAAAUGAUUGACAAUUCCCAAAGAUGUAAAAAUACACACAUUUUAACCCCAUGCUGUUAAAAUAAUCCCGCACUGAUUCUACCAAUUAUUGUCUUUACCUGAAGCUGAAGAACCACCUCCAAUCAUUGGGAUCUUUGGUUAUUUAAAGCAAAUUCUACCAUAAUAAUAAGCUUGCAAGAUAAGUUAGAGUGUCAUUUCACUUGAUGUUUCUUUGAGCAAACUCAAAGAAACAGCAUUGUACCACACCAACAAAAUAUUCCCUCUAUUCUCUCUCCACAAAUUAUUUGACCGAAGAAAUACAUACCAUUUUUUUUUCAAAUGAGGACAGGACCAGUGUUAAUGAUCUUAUAGUCUGUGUGGUUCACACCUAAAUUAACAUCAUUAAAAUGAAACAAAUCUGUAAACACAUUGAUUCUACAACUGAAAAUUAUCAACUGCAAAUAACAUAUGAUGACCCCAUCGUAUGUUCAGUAAGAAAAAUCACAUCUGAUUCAAAACUGCUCUUUCCAGAGAUAUGAGCAAACUGAAAGAUUUCACUACGUGUAUUGUGGAAAUUGCACAGAAAAUGCAUUUCUACUUUUAGUUUUCUCAUUAUAUACUUUCACAUGUUUUCAGCACUGCUGUCUUCAUACCAGCACCGUAGACUACCUGGUGACUCUUGGAAAGUUAGGGGCACAGGUGAUUCACAGCUCAAAAUUUGAGAAAAGCAAUUAUGAAUCAAGUGGUCAAGGCUCUAUGUUGUUAAUGCUGCCAAACUCUUCCCAACACAAACCCUUCAUUUCAGUCAUAACUCUUCCAAAAUAUAACUGUCGAGACUGGAAUUUUUCAUGUCUGGUUUCCAACAGGGUGUCAGCAUGGAUUGUCCAGUUUUUUCCAAUAAUAAAGUCAGCAGAAAGUAUAUUAUUUGCCAGUCAUACUAUUUACUACAAAUUUACUAUGGUUCUGUCAAUAAUUUCUGGCAGUACAACAACUUGAGGCAAGGAAGUAAAAUUUUGCAGUGAAUAGCCUUUUUUGUGAUGGAUAAGCCUUUUGUUGUGCAUCUAUGUGUGUGGAGGGGUAUAAUGUUCAAAUGUAGCCAAGUUGUUAAUAAUUGAGAAAAAUUCUGAUUGCAUAUACUUAGUAGCAGUUGAUCAACAGCAUUUUCUGUUCAUGCUAAGCCAACAUUCUUCCUGUCCCCAGAAUAAAGGAGGCUAAAACAAGGCUUUCCCUGCAAUUGCUAGUCCCAGGUGCUCUGACUCCAGAGCUGGACACGAAACCAAGGCUGAGGCUGUGUGGAUCUGACCCCUGGCUGCAACAGAGAAGCAGGGAGGAAGGCAUUAACCUCCUUUUACUGGGGACACCCACAGGGCAGCACCCUUUUGAUGAGCAUUUCUCAUCGCCCCACGGCAGGGACAUGAGGCAGAUCUGACACAGCUGGACGAGUUCUUUCUUCUUCACAUAAAACAGAGGUGCUCUAUUAGGCCGGAAAGAGUGCAAGCAGGCUGACUGAGGCAGCAGAAUGGAAGAGGUCAAGCUCCAGAGGGCCAGCAACCCUGUGAUUCCUCCCCAGGCUCCUCUGAGCAGCUCUGGUUCUUCCAGGAUGUCCUUGAAGAGUUUCAACAAGCAUCCCAUUGUGAAGCUGGGCUGGAAAACUUGCAAGGAACUGGAAAGCAAUUUCCACCCUAACUCUAGGUGGAAUGCACGCACCACUCAAGAAAACAAACUGCAGUAAAAUAAAAAUUGAUUUCAUAGUUAAGACAGCUGAACGCUGCCCUGGAGGCCUGAAAUCUGCCACUGACUGAUAGAGCUGCUGUGUGAGGCAAGGUAUUUAAAACUUCAUUUGCUUCACUUUUGCUCUCUUCAUUUGAAUCAAGACCCUACCUUCGUCAUGCAGGAGCACUGAGUCCUCACACAUUAUAUCAGUGAGGACUGUGCCAUGAACAAAAGACCGCACCAGAAUCUGAUGAUAGUGUUGUUUUUUUUUUUCCUACUCAGUGUUCAAAAUCUGUAGUUAGUCAUUAUUUAUAUUCCUCUGCUUCAGUUUAUUAUCUGAAAAAAUUGGACUAAUAAUACUCUUCAUUGCAGCAAAGUAGUAUGACAGAAGUUCAUUACUGCUUGUGAAACAGCUGGAUACUCUAAUGACGACCAUAAAAGAAAUGGUCAUAAGGAAGCAAAUAAUUCUGAAUUAAACCAACUUUGCACAAUGUGAAAUUAAUAAGGCAUUGGACACUCAAUGAACACAAUGAUAAAAUCAAAUACUGGGCCCAUUAAUGUGCCAUUUAUAUGAACUAUGUUUCCAUGCCAGGUGUCUGACUUUAAAGAAUUUCAAGAGAAUAGAUCUAUCAGCAAAUACAAAAACAAAGUAUAUGUUCUCUUAAUUAAAGACUGAUUGCAAUGCACAAAUCCAAAGAAAGCAAAAAUAGCACAAAUUCUAUCCAGAAAAUACUAGAAUUGUGUUUUACCGAUUGACUUUCAAAGCUUUGCAUCCUUUUAAUAUUUAUUCUAGUAGAUAAUGUUAACACAUGCAAAUAAUAAUAAUAAUAAUAAUAAUAUAUAUUUUUAAAAUGCAUGAUGGCUAAACUGAUAAUUAGAAACUUAUGGCUUUAGAUGCUAAAAUGCUUUCCUAGGAGCAUAAUUCAGAUCGCAUAAUUUUGCAGUAUGUAGAUGUAAUACAAGCAACACUGAGACUUGACGUAGUAUCUAAAAUAUAUUCUUGAAACCCAGAAGAGACAAGAACAAGAUCAGCCUCAAAAGUCCUACAGAAACAAGAGCUUUAAUGUAAAUAAAUGCAAACAAAACUUGGGAUGACAGCAGCGACACAUUUUCCAUUUUUUCCUGACUUCUUGCAGAGGUUGAUGUGAUUUAGCACUGAAAUGAAAUCCAAUGACAAACAGUAGAAAUCCCUCUUUGAUGCUUCUUCACAAAGCAGCCUCCUUUCAUAGCAUCUUUUGCAUGCACAUAGGCAACUGAAAAAGUCAGGCUAACCUUUCACUUUAUGCAGUCACUUUGUUUUCCCUAGCCUGGUGAAUUAGAAGGGAGGGAUACCAAGAGGGAGAACCAAGUGGACAUGGGCAGCCCCUUUGGUCCCUCUGUGUGAGCCGUGGAGGGGUAGCCCAAGGUGCAGGUCCCAUCUGAGUGACCAGCCUGCCCCACUGAAUGCUUCCUAGCUCCUCUCCUCUGCCUCUCACCUGGCAAACCAACACUCUUGAAGCUCAAACCAUGAACGGCUGGGUUACAGACAUAAACCUGGAAGGAUUUCAUCCUCCUUGCCACCACAGCCUUCAACAGAAAGGAGGUUUCUGGCAGUUUCCCUUCCAUCCUGUGUCCUUCGUAACCAGGAAGGUCCUGGGCAUGACACAGCCCUGCUUGCCUGUGCUUCAAGAACAUUAAUGUGAAACGGAUUUGGAGCCCACAAAUUAAUCCUGUGACUUACAAUAAGAUUUCAUACUGUCUUGCCAGACAUUUUUAAAAUGUCCUUGUCAUAUGUUAGCAUAAAAUUAAAAAUAUGCUGUGUGCUCUGUAGACAAUAUUUAUGCACUGUUCUGGGCUCUGGACAGUGACUUAUGUGCAUCACACACCCUGCUGCCACGUGCUCCUAGGCUGCACAUGCAAGAUAACCUGGUUAUCACUAACGCCGUGGUAUAGCUUGGACUUGCCAGUAAAGUUAAAAGCCAUUUUAAUCAUGAGGAAAAUUCAGAUACUGUACUUCUGACUGUAACACAGCAAAUGAGUACUAGCCAUAAUACUGCAUUUUUCACUUACAUUUUCUUCCCGGAAUAUCUGAAGAGCCUUUUGUAUAUUAAAUCACCUAUCAUGGUUGAUCUUAAUGCAUCAGUCAUAUAUUUCUCUUCCUCUUUCAAAUUACACUUACUGAAGAAAUAGAAACGUACAGAACAAGGAACAAAACUAUGUUCUCACUACAAAAAGAAAUGUGCCCUCAAUUUUGAAGUUGCAUUGAACUGAAAAUUUUGAUUUAUUAAUCCAAUGAAAUAUUUCUGGUUAUUUUCAGAUUAAUCAUGGGCAAGGAGCUCCCAAUGAGACUAUAUUUAUAAAGAUUAUUUAAACCUUAUUUACUUAGCAAGUCACUGAGUAGACUGCAUUGGUGCACUUCCUGAGGUCCCCAGAAUGUGGGAUCAUCCUUGAAGUAGUGGUGGCCCAGUCCUGCAAGGUACUCAUCAACUCCAUCUUUCAUUGCAAUAGAAAUGUUUUGCAUCCCUUAGGAAUAAACACACGAAAGAACCUGCUCUAAAUUAGCUGAGAAAAAGCUUCAUGCAAAAUUUUGCAUUUGUUUCUAAUGAGGAAAGUUAUUUCCAACAGAAUAGUGCAGCAAUGACAACAGAACAUUUGACCCACUGCUUUCAGAAUUUCUUUCCAUUUCUGACAAAUCUCCCAUACAGAGACAGACCAGCUUGUACACUGCCCAGUUUUGCUUUGUUUCCUAAGUUUCGUAUGCAUUUCUUAAUAGCACUUCCAGGUGUUCUGAGCACUUACAGAAUCACUGUAAAGUACUUCAUUCCAAGUAUGCUACCCAUGAACAACAAAUGUAACCUUACGUUGGUAAUGUAACCUCGGCAUUCAUUGAAAGAUUUAUCCGUGAGGCAGAGAAUUGUCAUCAAUUCAAAUCAAAAAUCAUCUGCUAACAAAGAGAUCUGUGCAACCUACUCCAGGGAACCUGCUCUGUCAGAGGCUUGGGCUAGAUGGUUCCCAUGGGUCCCUUCCAACUCCCUUAGUUCUGUGAUUCUGUUAUAAUGAAGACCUUAGUAGAAUGCCGAUCACUUUAUAAAGGAAAAAAAGCAUUGCACUACACACCAGUAUUGCAAAGGCAUUCCUGUUUUCUCAUUCUUCUGGUUUCUUUCCACAUUCCAGCUGAAAGGUGGUUUUUUUAGGAGUUUGUUCAAGCACCUCAUCAGCAGGACUUACCUGAGCUUCAGACCCAGAGUGUGAGGGCCAUCACUUCCUCUGCCCUAUACCAAGGAAAAUUGCAACAGCUGAGCUUGCUGAAAUUGUGUUAAUUGACACAGAAUCCCUUUCAGCUUCUGGGUCUAACUACUGGCUGGAUCAACCAUGCUGAGUGAGCAGCACUUGAAGCAACUGUUGGUACUGAUGCUACAGUGAAAUUUUGCAUUGGAGCAGACCCACUGCCUACUGUGCUGCCCUGCUGGUUCACACAAGGUGAAGAAUACAACCUAGCUGUGGAGGAAAAAAACAUCAGUUGACUCCUGCUGCACCCAUUUGCACAGCCUGCACAUCUAUCAUCUGCCAGGAGCAAAAGCUCUGCAUCAGCACUGGGGAAGUGGUCAACAAGUUCCUUCGUCUCAUGAAGAGAGCAGUGAGCUCGCUGGCCAGUUGGAAGAACAGAGCCAGCUGUGCCAGCUGUAUCU